RNAcentral lists this ribosomal RNA (253 nucleotides) under uncultured bacterium. RNAcentral's name for it is "partial 16S ribosomal RNA". It matches the Rfam family "Bacterial small subunit ribosomal RNA", at positions 524 to 776 of the family's 1533-position model. The record is from RNAcentral.
UACGUAGGGUGCGAGCGUUAAUCGGAAUUACUGGGCGUAAAGUGUGCGCAGGCGGCCAUGCAAGUCGAGUGUGAAAGCCCCGGGCUUAACUUGGGAAUUGCGCUCGAAACUACGUGGCUGGAGUGUGGCAGAGGAAGGUGGAAUUCCACGUGUAGCGGUGAAAUGCGUAGAUAUCUGGAGGAAUACCGGUGGCGAAGGCGGCAUCCUGGACCGGCAUUGACGCUGAGGAGCGAAAGCCAGGGGAGCAAACGGG